Macellibacteroides sp. HH-ZS is the source of this 132-nucleotide non-coding RNA. Lineage: Bacteria; Pseudomonadati; Bacteroidota; Bacteroidia; Bacteroidales; Porphyromonadaceae. The record is from Rfam.
CCGAUAUAACAACAAACGAGAUGAGAACUAUAAUGGUUAAUACAUAUUGGUGGCGCUUCUUACAACUCACAAAGUCGUAAGGAACAGUCCUGUGUAUAUCCAUAAAGUAUAAGAUAUUUUAGAAGGCCUGCC